CUUGUAAAGAGUGUACUAAUUGUUAAUUAGGUGUUGCUUUUAUUUAUACAACUCUAACCUAAAUCACAGAGGCGCAUGUUUCACAGACAAACAGUUUCACAGACAAACAGUGACCUUCCUUUGCCGCCCCGGAGGGGUGGUCACGUCCCCUGCCACCUCACGUUAGUGCCUCAGCUCCUAGCAGCAGAACUGGGGGAGGGGAGGUUUGUGAUCUGGAGCUCAGCAUAUGCUUGGCAACAUUUUUCUCAUUUCAUUAGCACUAAACAAGUCUUGCUCUCAGGAAUUUGUCAGAAAGGAAUAAAAACCACCUGAGAUUCCACAUACCAGAUUAUGAACUUUUCUUACAGGUUUGAAUUGCUUACUUACCUGUCAAAAAUUAACCACAGCUUCAUUUGACCACCGGAUCUUAAGUCUGUUGACAGUUUUCAGCAUGACCGAAUCGCUCAUUUUUUUGCUUUCAGAAAUUGGCUUGGUUCUCUUUAGAGUUGGUGUAAACAUGCCAUGUAAUAAAUGAUUUCCACUUAAUGGUACAACAGAAUUAUUGCUUUCUUAGAUGUAUGUGUAGUAAGAGUCAAUAUACACAUUUAUAUAAUUUCUUUCUUCAAAAUCUUAUACUUAAUUUGAUAUUUCUAAAAAUUGCACAUGUAAGUCAUGUGUAUAACAUGCUAAAGUACUUUAACUGUGAUCUUAAAACUGAAUAAAAAUAUUUAAUAAAAAUUUGAAAUAUUUUAAAGAUAUUAUUU
RNAcentral lists this long non-coding RNA (743 nucleotides) under Bos taurus (domestic cattle). RNAcentral's name for it is "long non-coding RNA NONBTAT000418". The record is from RNAcentral. Lineage: Eukaryota; Metazoa; Chordata; Mammalia; Artiodactyla; Bovidae.